RNAcentral lists this ribosomal RNA (480 nucleotides) under uncultured bacterium. RNAcentral describes it as "partial 16S ribosomal RNA". It matches the Rfam family "Bacterial small subunit ribosomal RNA", at positions 28 to 507 of the family's 1533-position model. The record is from RNAcentral.
GAUGAACGCUAGCGGCAGGCCUAACACAUGCAAGUCGAGGGAGAGGUUACCUUCGGGUAACCAAAACCGGCGCACGGGUGCGUAACGCGUAUACAAUCUGCCUUUCACAUAGGGAUAGCCCGAAGAAAUUUGGAUUAAUACCUAAUGGUAUAUAAGAGCGGCAUCGUUUUUAUAUUAAAGCUACGGUGGUGAAAGAUGAGUAUGCGUUCUAUUAGCUAGUUGGAGAGGUAACGGCUCCCCAAGGCGACGAUAGAUAGGGGUUCUGAGAGGGAUGUCCCCCACACUGGUACUGCGGUACGGACCAGACUCCUACGGGAGGCAGCAGUGAGGAAUAUUGGACAAUGGUCGGAAGACUGAUCCAGCCAUGCCGCGUGCAGGAGGAAGGUCCUAUGGAUUGUAAACUGCUGUUGGAAGGGAAGAAUAAGGAGUACGUGUACUUUGAUGACGGUACCUUACGAAUAAGCAUCGGCUAACUCCGUG